Molecule: long non-coding RNA, 630 nt
Organism: Erinaceus europaeus (western European hedgehog)
Lineage: Eukaryota; Metazoa; Chordata; Mammalia; Eulipotyphla; Erinaceidae
Exons: 3
Source: RefSeq, a predicted model, not a curated record
CUGCUAAAUACUCUAAGGAUAGACGCCAAUUUUCUUUCCUCACCCUUUCCAAAAUGGACUAGCUAUCCUGCUUGUUGGGUGAGUCUGAUAAAAUAUCUCUUUCUGUUUAAGCUGGCUUGGAUUCCACUAGUCAUUGUGGCCACCUUGAGAACAGCUGGCUUUCUUAGGAGGGUCCUUUCAUCCAGUGAAGAAAGUGGGUAGAACUGACUGGAAAUCCUGUCACUUUAAGCAAAGCAAAGAUCACAGGACCUGUCCUGAAAUGAUGUCACCCAGGUUAACUGAGAAAAUGCAUCCAGAGUGUUCCUUCGUUAUCUGGUAGGUCAGCGAAAGCCGCUGUGAUAAUAGCAUCCGGCAUCUAAUGGCUAUUGAAAUUCUCCCUCUGAUGAUGGCCCUUAACACUCAUCAGCUCCCGUAGCAGUCACCCUGCAGGUGGAGAACAAGCCACCAGGUUCUGGAUGCCAGCAAGAUGACAACCAGACUUCCCUGGAUUGAUGACCCCACCAAUGUGUCCUGGAGCCCCACUUCUCCAGAGCCCUACCCUACUAGGGAAAGAGAGAGGCAGACUGGGAGUAUGGACCAACCAGUCAAUGCCCAUGUUCAGUGGGGAAGCAAUUACAGAAGCCAGACCUU